This 71-nucleotide transfer RNA is filed under the name Podarcis lilfordi (Lilford's wall lizard). RNAcentral describes it as "tRNA.Lys". It matches the Rfam family "tRNA". From Rfam's summary of the family: Transfer RNA (tRNA) molecules are approximately 80 nucleotides in length. The record is from RNAcentral. Lineage: Eukaryota; Metazoa; Chordata; Lepidosauria; Squamata; Lacertidae.
UCUUUCUCAGUUGGUAAAGCAUGAGACUCUUAAUCUCAGGGCUGUGGGUUCGAGUCCCAUGCUGGGCAAAA